AUGCAAGUCGCACGAGAACGCUUCAGCUUGCUGGAGCUAGUAAAGUGGCGCACGGGUGAGUAACGCGUGGGUAAUCUACCUCCAAAUUGGGGAUAACAUUGCGAAAGCGAUGCUAAUACCGAAUAAUAUCUCAAAAACUUCGGCUUUUUGAGAUCAAAGGUGGCCUCUCCAUGGAAGCUACUGUUAGGAGAUGAGCCCGCGUACCAUUAGCUUGUUGGUAGGGUAAUGGCCUACCAAGGCAACGAUGGUUAGCUGGUCUGAGAGGAUGAUCAGCCACACUGGAACUGACACACGGUCCAGACUCUUACGGGAGGCAGCAGUGAGGAAUUUUGCGCAAUGGGGGAAACCCUGACGCAGCAACGCCGCGUGAGUGAUGAAGGCUUUCGGGUCGUAAAGCUCUGUCAAGUGGGAAGAAUCUGCCCUGUGCUAAUAUCACCGGGCACUGACGGUACCACUGAAGGAAGCACCGGCUAACUCCGUG
RNAcentral lists this ribosomal RNA (481 nucleotides) under uncultured bacterium. RNAcentral's name for it is "bacterial SSU rRNA". It matches the Rfam family "Bacterial small subunit ribosomal RNA", at positions 55 to 507 of the family's 1533-position model. The record is from RNAcentral.